RNAcentral lists this ribosomal RNA (279 nucleotides) under uncultured bacterium. RNAcentral describes it as "partial 16S ribosomal RNA". It matches the Rfam family "Bacterial small subunit ribosomal RNA", at positions 506 to 784 of the family's 1533-position model. The record is from RNAcentral.
UGCCAGCAGCCGCGGUAACACGGGGGGCGCAAGCGUUAUUCGGAAUUAUUGGGCGUAAAGGGCGCGUAGGCGGUCUUGUCAGUCAGGUGUGAAAGCCCGGGGCUCAACCCCGGACGUGCAUUUGAAACAGCAAGACUUGAGUACGGGAGAGGAGAGAGGAAUUCCUGGUGUAGAGGUGAAAUUCGUAGAUAUCAGGAGGAACACCGAUGGCGAAGGCAGCUUUCUGGACAGAUACUGACGCUGAGGCGCGAAAGCGUGGGGAGCAAACAGGAUUAGAUA